GCCCCCUUUUCCCUGUUAAUGCCCUAUCGGCCCCCCUGGCUAAACUUUGCUAGAUCCGCCCCUGCACAGUUACCAGCCGUCAGCUACGUAGAAAAAGAUCCUCGAGUAGAAAGUAAUAUUAAAUACAUUCUAACAACAGCUGAUCAAGCUUAAACGUGCUGCUGUUGUUCAGCCGCUGGUUUCCUCUUUCUGGUGCAACGUGGGCCAAAAGCAAACUAGAGACACGGACUCGCGACAGAAAAGCCGAUCAGCUGAUCGUUAAGCAGUUUCAUGAUUGAAGUAGCAGCAGGAGAGGCAGUCGCUUGUUAAGCUUAACGCAGGAAUGCUUUACAAACAUUCAGAGAUGGACUUACACACUUGCUUUACUUCUCUCGGGGAUAACUUUGUCGGAGAUGAAAUGCCGGGUUGCUAGCGAAGCUCCAAAUGCUAUCCAGACCACCGACAGCUCCCGCAUGCCACAGCCGCUCUAUCACGUGAUGCAUACUGCUCCGGCGUGCUAACGUUCUGAGGUGAGUUACGGCGUGUUGCAAGUUUUGUGAGGUGCUUUCGUGAUAUUUAAUGGAUCGGAUUACAUUUUUUAUUUUUCUCCGAUAUCCGAUCCAGUAAUUUAGGUCAGUAUCGGACAGAUACCGAUACGUAAUAUCGGAUCGGUCCAUCUCUAGUAUUUACUGCUGUUUACACUUAGCUAGAUUAACGUGAUGGUGUUGUGUUUAGUAUGUUGCUGUUUUUUUUUUGCUUAUUUUCUCUUCUUUUUCUCUCAACAGGUGAUCCAGGAGAUUUUUUUUUCUCCCCCCCUUUCUCACUGUCCCUCUCCCCUUCUGUUUUUCCUUUCCUUCCUCUUUCUUUCUCCCUUUCCUAUCUCUCACUCAUGUCUGUCCCGUCUGUAACAUCUGAAAAUAAAAUAUAAUAAAUAAUAAAAACAAAGAUCGACCAAAUGGACCAAUACGGCAAUGCCACGAUGAUCCAUUUGGCAAAGUAAAUCCAUUGGGUAUCCUUGUUGGUCUUCAGACAACAAUUCUGAUGGCUGAAGAACCAAAUGGGACAGGCGGGAAAAAAAAAAAAAAAAAAAGUUUCCUGUUGUUGUAAACUAUUUUUUGCAACUUUUUUGUAUUUAAAGUUUUGAGGGAUAAACCUCUUAAAUUUCUC
Long non-coding RNA from Astatotilapia calliptera (eastern happy), 1146 nucleotides. The record is from Ensembl. Lineage: Eukaryota; Metazoa; Chordata; Actinopteri; Cichliformes; Cichlidae.